GUCUACGGCCAUACCACCCUGAACGCGCCUGAUCUCGUCUGAUCUCGGAAGCUAAGCAGGGUCGGGCCUGGUUAGUACUUGGAUGGGAGAUGUUACUAGAAACUAUUCAGUCUUUCUCC
RNAcentral lists this ribosomal RNA (119 nucleotides) under Neogale vison (American mink). Lineage: Eukaryota; Metazoa; Chordata; Mammalia; Carnivora; Mustelidae. The record is from RNAcentral.